ACGGCUCAGUAACACGUGGAUAACCUGCCCUAAGGAAGGGGAUAACCCCGGGAAACUGGGGAUAAUACCCUAUAGGUUACAGAUGCUGGAAUGCUCUGUAACCGAAAGUUCCGGCGCCCUAGGAUGGAUCUGCGGCCGAUUAGGUUGUUGUCGGGGUAACGGCCCAACAAGCCAGUAAUCGGUACGGGUUGUGGGAGCAAGAGCCCGGAGUUGGAUUCUGAGACACGAAUCCAGGCCCUACAGGGCGCAGCAGGCGCGAAAACUUUACAAUGCGGGCAACCGUGAUAAGGGAACCUCGAGUGCCUGUAUAUGCAGGCUGUCUGGGUGUCUAAAACACACCUAAAGAAAGGGCCGGGCAAGACCGGUGCCAGCCGCCGCGGUAAUACCGGCGGCUCGAGUGGUGGCCACUUUUAUUGGGCUUAAAGCGUUCGUAGCUGGGUUAUUAAGUCCCUUGGGAAAUCCGACGGCUUAACCGUCGGGCGUCUAAGGGAUACUGGCAAUCUUGGAACCGGGAGAGGUGAGGGGUACUUCGGGGGUAGGAGUGAAAUCCUGUAAUCCUCGAGGGACCACCUGUGGCGAAGGCGCCUCACCAGAACGGCUUCGACAGUGAGGGACGAAGGCUGGGGGAGCAAACCGGAUUAGAUACCCGGGUAGUCCCAGCCGUAACGAUGUG
This 673-nucleotide ribosomal RNA is filed under the name uncultured Methanoculleus sp. Its description in RNAcentral is "bacterial SSU rRNA". It matches the Rfam family "Archaeal small subunit ribosomal RNA", at positions 85 to 764 of the family's 1478-position model. Lineage: Archaea; Methanobacteriati; Methanobacteriota; Methanomicrobia; Methanomicrobiales; Methanomicrobiaceae. The record is from RNAcentral.